GCUCGUUAAUUUUGAUUUCAGUCCGGAACCGGCCCCAAAAAGGGGGUACGUGGUUUGUUUUCAAAACGUGGCAGCUAUACAAAUUCAGUUGAUUUCUUUUAAAACAUCAUUCUCCCUGCAUCUCUUUUCUCUCAAUCUCUCUCUCGCUCAUCUCUCUCUUCUCUCCCCAGUCUCUCCCUCUCGCGCUCAACCUCUCUUCCCUCGCACUUCUCCCUGAAUUUCUCUCCCGCGCUGUUUCUUCCUCUCCUGUCUUCCUUUCCCCUCGGUUUUCCGGCGUCGCCUCACCUCCGGGAAUCGCCGCCGCUCUCCGCCGGCCUCACUCUUUCUUCCUUCCUUUCCCGAGUUGCUGCUGGGUACCGAGUCGACUGGGAUGUUCAGAAAUAGUGAAUAGUAUCGUGGAGCGAGGCUGGCAUAAACCAAUGAAGUGAAGCUGUGCUAUGAAUAUUUUAUUAAAGUCUGUCAGAAACUAAGCAGAAGGGAACAGUUCAGUAGAUAGUACUAUUAGAAAUCUGAGUUAGACACCAGAGUUAAGAGUCGACUGGGAUGUUCAGAAAUAGUGAAUAGUAUCGUGGAGCGAGGCUGGCAUAAACCAAUGAAGUGAAGCUGUGCUAUGGAUAUUUUAUUAAAGUCUGUCAGAAACUAAGCAGAAGGGAACAGUUCAGUAGAUAGUACUAUUAGAAAUCCGAGUUAGACACCAGAGUUAAGCUAGGGAUUAAGAUGAUUCGUUUGUCAAGCUGCGCGUAGAAGUAAUGCUAGGCGAGAUUGCCAGUGAGAUGUCUGCAAGAAUAGUAUGGGUUAGAAUUGUUCUAUUUCAGUUAUUGUAUAAUACAUUUAUUUAUUGGUUAUCAGUUACUCUUCUUAUCGAGGUUUAACUGAUAAUGUAGUUUAAGUUGUAAUAAGAUUUGAUAGUUUUUGGUUUCUGAUUUCAGUGCUGUAACCUAUUAGCGA
Daucus carota subsp. sativus is the source of this 948-nucleotide long non-coding RNA. RefSeq lists it as uncharacterized. NCBI's taxonomy places the organism in Eukaryota, Viridiplantae, Streptophyta, Magnoliopsida, Apiales, Apiaceae. The record is from RefSeq and is a predicted model, not a curated record. The transcript is spliced from 4 exons.